GCAGAUGUGGUGAAAGCGGAAGCCACCUAGAUUGAGUUCUAGCCCUUGUAGGAUGCAGGUUCAAAUCCUGCCAUCUGCA
Molecule: transfer RNA, 79 nt
Filed under: Caudoviricetes sp.
Lineage: Duplodnaviria; Heunggongvirae; Uroviricota; Caudoviricetes
Description: tRNA-OTHER
Rfam family: tRNA
About the family: Transfer RNA (tRNA) molecules are approximately 80 nucleotides in length. Their secondary structure includes four short double-helical elements and three loops (D, anti-codon, and T loops).
Source: RNAcentral